Molecule: ribosomal RNA, 253 nt
Filed under: uncultured bacterium
Lineage: Bacteria
Description: partial 16S ribosomal RNA
Rfam family: Bacterial small subunit ribosomal RNA
Source: RNAcentral
UACGGAGGGUGCAAGCGUUGUCCGGAUUUAUUGGGUUUAAAGGGUGCGUAGGCGGGUUGUUAAGUCAGUGGUGAAAGCUCCGAGCCUAACUCGGAAACUGCCAUUGAUACUGACGAUCUUGAGUACAUUUGAGGUGGGCGGAAUGUGUCAUGUAGCGGUGAAAUGCUUAGAUAUGACACAGAACACCGAUUGCGAAGGCAGCUCACUAAACUGUAACUGACGCUGAGGCACGAAAGCGUGGGGAGCAAACAGG